UCAGGUGGCCGCAGAGAAUAGGCCCAAGCGACUGUUUACCAAAAACAUAGGUUUCUGCUAAGUCGCAAGACGAUGUAUAGGAGCUGACGCCUGCCCGGUGCUGGAAGGUUAAGGGGAUCUGUUAGAGCAAUCGAAGCAGUGAACUUAAGCCCCAGUAAACGGCGGCCGUAACUAUAACGGUCCUAAGGUAGCGAAAUUCCUGGUCGGGUAAGUUCCGACCCGCACGAAAGGCGUAACGAUUUGGGCACUGUCUCAACAACAGACUCGGUGAAAUUGUAAUUCCGGUGAAGAUGCCGGAUACCUGCGACAGGACGGAAAGACCCCAUGGA
Molecule: ribosomal RNA, 329 nt
Filed under: Clostridioides difficile
Lineage: Bacteria; Bacillati; Bacillota; Clostridia; Peptostreptococcales; Peptostreptococcaceae
Description: bacterial LSU rRNA
Rfam family: Bacterial large subunit ribosomal RNA
Source: RNAcentral